Molecule: long non-coding RNA, 882 nt
Organism: Mastomys coucha (southern multimammate mouse)
Lineage: Eukaryota; Metazoa; Chordata; Mammalia; Rodentia; Muridae
Exons: 5
Source: RefSeq, a predicted model, not a curated record
AGGCUUCACCACACACAGGAGAGACAACACAACUUACAGGAGCCAAGUGGAGUGACCAUGGGACAAGGAAGGCCGACUCACCAAGGGUCAGAGAGCUGAAUGACAGGUAACAGUGGUCCAGAGUGUGGCAAGAAUAAGGGCGUGGCUCAGCUGACACUGACAUCAGCCCAGACAUCCUGCUUUCAGUUCUGGCCUCCGGAGCCAUGAAAGAGGAACCUUCUAGAACUGCCUCAGGAACCUAAUACAGAUCAGUCACCAAAUGGAAUGGAGGAAGCUAGUGACAACUGGAAGGAUCAUGCUUCAGUGCUCAGGGGGAGCUGCUUUACAAUUAGACUCUGGUCACAGCAGGAUACAGCAGAUUGAGUGAAGAUUUAUCAAGAGAGCUGAUAACCCAAUAGCUGGGCAGAAGAGAGAAUAGUUCCAUCAGCUAGUGGAAGAAGAGAGAGAGGAAGAGAGAGGCAGAUCUACCAUGGGGAGGAAGGAAGAAAGAAUUCUUGAGAGUUCAGCUAAAACAUGGACGACUUAAUUAUGACAGUGGCAUUUGUGAUUGUCAUUAGAAAAGCAGUCACACCUGAGAGAGUCACUGCAGGGAGGAUGACACUGAGCAGUGAUGUCAGCCGAUGCAGCAAAUGGUCCUGUACUGAGUCCCGGAAACAGGCUCUGAAAAGAAUCGCCACACGGUCAACUAUUUCCUGCUACAGGGUAGGUGACUUUUCAUGAGUGGUGUACCAGAUAACAAAGACCAGGAAGAGCUAGUUUCUGAACCUGGACACAGAGAAGAAUCUGUGUGGCGACUAGGCAGUAAACAAACACACGAAGCAUCUCUACCUACCAUGUAGAGAUACUGGCAAAAACCAAAAGACAAUAAAACAUCUCACAUGG